Molecule: long non-coding RNA, 2322 nt
Organism: Oxyura jamaicensis (ruddy duck)
Lineage: Eukaryota; Metazoa; Chordata; Aves; Anseriformes; Anatidae
Exons: 3
Source: RefSeq, a predicted model, not a curated record
UCUUGCCACAUGGAAUUGACCCUUGGGGGCUUGAAGAAAGCAGGAUUUGUGGCUGCUCUGAAAUGCCAGUGGUCUGGUCCAGCAUUCCUCUUGUCAAUACGAACCUUGUGUUUUUAUUGGAAACACGUGUCAAAACAAAACAGUGUUUGAGGCUGCUGCUGAGAGAAGGUGGGCAAGUCCACAGACAGCCAACCUGUUUUUUCUGCUUGUUUCCAAACAUACCAUGCCACACUGCUCGUCACAUUCAAAUGGAGGGAAAGAUGAGUUAGAGGGAUGAGAGUGACUGUGACAUUCUGCUAUACCUGAUGAGGUCCAAAUUGAGAGUUUAUAUUAGGAUUACCCCUUGAAGAAAAGCUAUUGCAGCAAGCCAGCUCUGUACUUUUCUGGAUGGGCAGUAGAGUGUUUGGAGAAGACCAGCCAGUCAUAUGUAAUACUUCACUCCCUGGGGGCUGCCAAAACACUUUGAAAACAUUUCAAGCUAUGAACCAUGGAACUAUUACCUGCAUCACAGAAAAGCCAAAGUAAGGAGAGCUCUGUGGUAAAGGAACUGGUAUUGAUGGAGAAAAGAUUGCACACAACUAUCACGGCAAUGUGCCUUCAAUCAGCGUUUAGGUCUCAUCCGUAUUAAGAGUUUAUGCCUCUGACAAAAAACAGGAAACAACAUUGAAUUAGAUACUACCAAAAGAAGAUACUGAAGGAAGAGAUUUACUGUGCCAGAAUGAUGAGAAAAUGAAUUUUGACGUGUCACCUGGGACUAAAUGGGACAAUUGUUCUAUCUCUGUGCUGUGGAUUUCCACCAUGACAAAGUAACUCAGAUCCUGACACAGAGUCAGUGACAGCUUCAGAAUAGGAUUUCACUGAGCCACGGUGCUCCCCAGCCUCCAGAUACAAUUACUGGUAGUACCUCUGCAGAGAGGCAUCUUUGGGACAGCCCAGCAUUUAUGGAUUUGGAUUGUUUCAGAGAGCUGUGCUUUUAAAUCUAGGCAAAGUUGAAUAAUAUCCCCCAGAUGCUCAUUUUUAAUGGGGCUGUGAAAUCAAGGUGAGGACCUGGUUGCUCCAAGCUUAACAAAAAGGGAUUUCCAAGAGUGAAGUAGCCCUAUUUUCUCCUUCAACAGGUCUUUAAGUUGUGCAGCACUCGUUCGUCAGCAUCAGACUUUGAUUUGGCACUGCUUUGUUGUGCAGAUGUAGCAAUCACAUUCACAAGCCUGGAACUAAUUAAAAAUGGAAUAUUUUAGAUCAGUCAUGGUGAGUGUGGCCAGAUUUACAGGGAUAAUACAAGAGUGCUUGAGGAGCAGACUGAUCUAGCUUUUUUAAAACGUUCUUCCUUCAACACUGGUACAUUACCUACAGGCCAAUUGGGUUGGUCCUUUGCAGCACUAUCUUUUAUGCACCCUCAGGCUGGUUGAAGUGGAGCUUUAAGGGGACACAGGCGUUUCAUGGUUUGCUGCAUUCCAGAUGUAUGGAGAAUCAUCUUGAAAAAUCUGCCUGAUAGGACAUCACUCUUUUCUUCUUUUUUCCCCUAAUUUUUAAAAAGGGUAUGGUUGCCAAGCUUAUCCAUCACUUUAAUAAGAGACAAUGAGUUAAAGGCAGUGGGAAUAGAUAAAUCAGGAGAUCAGGACAAAAACAGGCAAGGAGAUAGAUAUGGGUUCAUCUAACCCCAUUUGUCUGAUAGCCACAGAGCCAGUAGCAGUCUCAUCGUAGGUAACACCAUUCCAUAAAACUUGGAGACCCAAGUGCUUUCCAUGAGCCUCUCCAAUCCUAUGAAUUCUGUCUGUGAAUGCCUGAGGGGAGGGCUCAACUGCAGACAGCUCCAUAGGGUCUCUGGGGAGGAAAAACUAUCCACGGAGCAAUUACAUGCUGGGUCACCAUAAUUUUCUCCUCGUUCAGCUCACCACUUCCUAGGCUUUGCUGCUCCUGGCUGCCAGCUCUGCACCUGCUCCUUGCUGAGUCAAGCUGGGAAACAAAGAAAAAAACAUUUCUUUCUACUGCAGAGUAGUCAGGCUCAUUAGGGAUGAGUGCUUUUUCCCAUUGCACUGCCAACCGGUGUGCCAUGACACUGGUCGUACGCCAGUUACACUGCUCAUUACAGGCUGAUGGCAGCAUCAAGUUUCUGUCACCGCUGCUUUGUGUCACCUGCUCACCUCCUGAGCAGCAACUGGCUGCGAGUUCCUGGGGUUGGGAUCUCUUCAGCAUGUGCAGGCUCUCCGAGGCGCUGUUGUAUUAGCUCCUCCUUGGGACACUGCCUCAAGUCAGACAAAGUAAUGGCAAUACUAAGGCUGUGCUCUAGGUGUUCCUGCUACGGGGAACAGAGAAAGCUUACCU